RNAcentral lists this ribosomal RNA (468 nucleotides) under uncultured bacterium. Its description in RNAcentral is "partial 16S ribosomal RNA". It matches the Rfam family "Bacterial small subunit ribosomal RNA", at positions 28 to 507 of the family's 1533-position model. The record is from RNAcentral.
GACGAACGCUGGCGGCGUGCUUAACACAUGCAAGUCGAACGGAAAGGCCCUGCUUUUGUGGGGUGCUCGAGUGGCGAACGGGUGAGUAACACGUGAGUAACCUGCCCUUGACUUUGGGAUAACUUCAGGAAACUGGGGCUAAUACCGGAUAGGAGCUCCUGCUGCAUGGUGGGGGUUGGAAAGUUUCGGCGGUUGGGGAUGGACUCGCGGCUUAUCAGCUUGUUGGUGGGGUAGUGGCUUACCAAGGCUUUGACGGGUAGCCGGCCUGAGAGGGUGACCGGCCACAUUGGGACUGAGAUACGGCCCAGACGCCUACGGGAGGCAGCAGUGGGGAGUAUGGCACAAUGGGCGGAGGCCUGAUGCAGCAACGCCGCGUGCGGGAUGACGGCCUUCGGGGUGUAAACCGCUUUCGCCGGUGACGAACCGGGAGUGACGGUAAUGGGUAAAGAAGCACCGGCUAACGACGUG